GGGCCGGGCGGUGGGGAAACGCGGUGACCCCAUGAGCACAGAGGUGGGGGACACUAGGAACCGGCCAGAGCAAACUCGAGGUGUCCUUGCGGGCCCUGACCUGCUCGCAGCGGCAAACCCUACUCUCGCCUUGGGAGCCGUUGAUGGCCUGGCUGGGUCAGGGCUUUCACCAUUUUCCUGAUUUCUUUGAGGGCUGCCGCUGGAGCCUCCUCCGGGUCUCUAGCAGAGUCGGGGGGGGGGGGGUCUGACAAAGGGACGGGGUCAGGGAUAGUGUUGGGAUGUCCCGAGUGCACGUCUUCUGAACGGGCAGUAGUUUUGGGAAAAUGUUGGUGGCCGCACCAUGACCCAGGGCGAAGCAGGCGUAUCAGAAUUUCCUGCUUUGCGUGGGGAGGUUUGCACCGCGUCCUGGAUGUGGGCUUGAUCCUUUCGGUGACUGUUAGGUACUGUAAACAGACUUCAUGGUUCUAACACAGUAUAUCAAACGCUCUCAAAAUAUUCCUACAAUAGGGGAAACGUGGGCUGGUUGUGAUUAACAACUAGGUAGAGGUCUGCUCAGGUCAAACAAGCUGUUGGUAACUAGGGCUUCCUGGGGGCUAGACUAAAAAAUAGCAUGAUCUCAGCUGAGAGACUAUUUUAGGAAGAGACGUUUCUCCAGGUAGAAGACUAUUCUGAAUGGAUACUUCUGGGAGUUUCCGUGUAACUGCUUUUGUUAUAAGGCUUUCUACAUCUUUUUUUUUUUUUUUUUUUUUUUUUUUUUUUGAGUUUUGCGAGCUAGUGGUGAGCUUGCACUUUGAAAUCCAGCCAGAUUUCUCAAAAUAGUACUCUUGGCUGUUGUGACAAAGACCUUUCAAUAUCAAUCAUCUGUUUAACUACACAGAUGUUCCUUCCUAGUGUACCCAGCAGUGACCAGGGGAGAAUGAGAACCAUUAACCUGUCUCAUUACGCUCAGAUUUGUUUCUGGUUUGCUGGGUUGGAUCAGACGUACUUGCCUUUGGAUAGCAGAGAGCUGCUUUGGGCAAGAGUUACCUUCUCCCAACAAGGCAAAACAGAUAGGAUGCACUCUGGUCAUUCUAAACAAGUUCUUUGAGCUUUUCCGUCAAGCCAUUUUUAGCACAUUCAGCUACAAAGAUGAAUCUGAUACAUUUCCUUGUUUCAACUUCAUACAGAAAGCGCCAGAGAGCUAGGAGUGUUAAAUAGCUGCAGAAGAGAAAGAGAACAUCCUGGACGGCCGUGGAGCCCAUGGUAGGCAGGCAUGUGAGUUUCUGUAAGCGGAGGUCUUGCCACACACACUCUCGCCCUUUUCUCUCCCCUUGGCUAUGCUAAAGCCCAGGCCAUCGCCUGGUUGUGGUCUCACGGCAGAUACACAGGUAUUCGUGUGGGUAUUACUUGGACUGGCUAUCUGAAGGGUAGAGCAAAGAACCAAAAAUCUACCAAAAACUGAAACAAAAAGGAAACAGAGGCAAAAAAAGAAAAUCUAGUAGAGAAGCACCCAGAUCUGCAAGGAGUAAGAGAAAUUCUACUGGGCACAGACCAGCGUUGUCCUAUCUUCACCUCUCCUGGUGUGGUCCUGUAAGGCCGGCACAAAAGAUGCUUCUGUUUGACGACAUUAACAUAUAAUUUCAGAGAAUGUGAAGAAGGCAUUACUUUGUUGUCUUCGAGCAUCUGCUGUUGCUGCUAAGAAGUUGGCUCCAGCACAAAAGGCUUUUCUUUCAAGUGAAAAUAAGGAAUGCUGAUACCUGAAGAAGAUUUCAAAUCCUGCAACUUCGGUGAAGUUUCUAGAAGCAUAGUCAUCUGGAGUAAGCCAAAGUAAAGGAUAGAUUCUUGCACCUUGAUGUUCCCACUAUGAAGAAGAAAACAUUCCACCUCCUGGACCUCUUUAGAUUCUGGAAGCAUCCUAUUCCACAACAGGGGACAUUGCUCCAAUUGGCUGCCAUGUGUUUAGGAAAAUCCUUAAGCAGACAUGUCUUAAAAGAAGUGUUCUAAUAGGAUUAUCCAUGUCUACCGUGUUGACUGUCCAUGUUUUCAUUAAAAUGAUCUGAAGAACCCUUGUAAAGAUUACAGGUAAACUCAAGGAAAGGAAACGCCUCAGAAGAAAUCAGAAAUGAAAAAUGACCCUCAGUCCCCGUGGCCCGCCGGUGCCCAAUUACCCACCCAUCCUGUCUCCACAUCAAAGAGCAAAGGGUAAGAGAGAUCAGGGGAGAAGGACAAGAAAGAAAGGAAAAGAGAGAUUACAGACUGGCCGUUUGAGAUCUGGUUACCAGCCUGGAAAAACAAGAACAGAUGUAUUUGCAUGAUUAUAAAAUAAAAUGCCUUUCAAAUAACUUAAUCUCCGGGAAC
Mustela erminea (ermine) is the source of this 2337-nucleotide long non-coding RNA. RefSeq lists it as uncharacterized. The record is from RefSeq and is a predicted model, not a curated record. The transcript is spliced from 5 exons. Lineage: Eukaryota; Metazoa; Chordata; Mammalia; Carnivora; Mustelidae.